RNAcentral lists this small nuclear RNA (30 nucleotides) under Arabidopsis thaliana (thale cress). RNAcentral describes it as "snRNA_03254". Lineage: Eukaryota; Viridiplantae; Streptophyta; Magnoliopsida; Brassicales; Brassicaceae. The record is from RNAcentral.
GAUUGGCGGGAUCCCUCGCGGGUGCACCGC